GAUGAACGCUGGCGGCGUGCCUAAUACAUGCAAGUCGAGCGAACCACUUCGGUGGUGAGCGGCGAACGGGUGAGUAACACGUAGGUGAUCUGCCCAUCAGACGGGGACAACGAUUGGAAACGAUCGCUAAUACCGGAUAGGACGAAAGUUUAAAGGUGCUUCGGCACCACUGAUGGAUGAGCCUGCGGCGUAUUAGCUAGUUGGUGGGGUAAAGGCCUACCAAGGCAACGAUGCGUAGCCGACCUGAGAGGGUGAUCGGCCACACUGGGACUGAGACACGGCCCAGACUCCUACGGGAGACAGCAGUUAGGAAUAUUCGUCAAUGGGGGAAACCCUGAACGAGCAAUGCCGCGUGAAGGAAGACGGUCCUCUGGAUUGUAAACUUCUGUUGUUAGGGAAGAACGACCUGUAUAGGAAAUGAUACAGGAGUGACGGUACCUUUCAAGAAAGCUCCGGCUAACUACGUG
RNAcentral lists this ribosomal RNA (467 nucleotides) under uncultured bacterium. RNAcentral describes it as "bacterial SSU rRNA". It matches the Rfam family "Bacterial small subunit ribosomal RNA", at positions 28 to 507 of the family's 1533-position model. The record is from RNAcentral.